This 497-nucleotide ribosomal RNA is filed under the name uncultured bacterium. RNAcentral's name for it is "partial 16S ribosomal RNA". It matches the Rfam family "Bacterial small subunit ribosomal RNA", at positions 28 to 507 of the family's 1533-position model. The record is from RNAcentral.
GAUGAACGCUGGCGGCGUGCCUAAUACAUGCAAGUCGAGCGAACGGACGAGAAGCUUGCUUCUCUGAUGUUAGCGGCGGACGGGUGAGUAACACGUGGAUAACCUACCUAUAAGACUGGGAUAACUUCGGGAAACCGGAGCUAAUACCGGAUGAUAUUUUGAACCGCAUGGUUCAAAAGUGAAAGACGGUCUUGCUGUCACUUAUAGAUGGAUCCGCGCUGCAUUAGCUAGUUGGUAAGGUAACGGCUUACCAAGGCAACGAUGCAUAGCCGACCUGAGAGGGUGAUCGGCCACACUGGAACUGAGACACGGUCCAGACUCCUACGGGAGGCAGCAGUAGGGAAUCUUCCGCAAUGGGCGAAAGCCUGACGGAGCAACGCCGCGUGAGUGAUGAAGGUCUUCGGAUCGUAAAACUCUGUUAUUAGGGAAGAACAUAUGUGUAAGUAACUGUGCACAUCUUGACGGUACCUAAUCAGAAAGCCACGGCCAACUACGUG